GUCCCCAUAUUCUUCAUUGUGAGUAUAUGGUUACUUCACUCACCAUCUCUCUUAAUCUUGCUCUACCAUUGUCUCAACCACCAUCACCACCAUCAUCUCUUGGCCAAUAUGAUAAUUUGAUCAAAGUACUUUAUUCUCCAACAUUGCCACCAAUGUUUAUUAUCACCUCUCUCCCAAAUUUUAAUACAUCAUCAAACCAUUUUUAGCUAACCCCUCAAAUACUCAACCUUGGUCGACAUUCAUGAAGUGGCAUUGCACUUUGUUUGUUCACUUGUGGUUGUCAAGAAGGAGCCGGCCAUGGCAAGAAAAUUCGGCCAGCCCUCCCUCCUCAUUUCCUUCUCUUCCAAGCCUUGCCUCCCAACUACCCCAAUCACUAAAUGGGCAGCCACCCAACUUGGCCAAUCAAAUAAGGAGGCAGCCACCCCUCUCCCUCUAUAAAUUGGCCCUUGGCCGGCCACUCCCUCCUCCUUUGGUCAUUUUUCUCACACUCCACUCCCUCACACUCUCCUCUACCUCUCCCCCACGAAAAUGCUGCUGCCCCUUGCUCCCAUGGCCGGCCAUGGCCAUGGAAGGCACUCCAAGAUGAAGCUCCCUCCUCCCUCAAGCUCCUCCUCACCAUGAGAGCCUCCCUCUCCUUCUUCUCCCCAACCCUAGAAGGUUUUCUCUCCUCUUCCUCUUCCUCCAUUGCUAAGAUUGGAUCUUGAUGCAGGUGCAUGUUGGUCCAAGCAUGGAGAAGCUUGAGCUAUCCUCAGAUCUGAAGUUCUUGAGCAAAAUCCAAAUCGAGUGAUUCAAAGUUCCGCAGAUAGAUACGGAAAAGAUCUACAUCUUGGAGUUGGUCUCAUCCUCAAAUUCGUUACGGAUUGUCCGUGGUGAAAGCCCUCUUCAAUACCUUCAUUUUGGCGGUGGUUUCACUUCGAUUGACCUCCUGAAACUGAAAUGGUUCACAGGUCAAGAUCUGGUCAGAUCUGACUUUGUCGAAUUAAACCAGGAGCUUGGGAACGAAUUUUUGAAUGAAACCAAUUGGGGGAUGUUGGGUUAUACCAUGGUGAUAACCGAGAGAGGCAAUUGCUAAGUUGUGAUACUCUCAUACCUUUACUAGACGCGAGCAAUUCCGGAGAAGAAGAAGAAGUGGAAUUGGACAAGGAGUUUAUUUAUAUUGUUGGGAUUCUUAUAUUGAUAGAGUUGAAGAAGUACAGAGACAAAUAAGCCAAGGCAAGCCAUCUUUUGAUCUCUGAUCCGGUGUCUAGUUGGAUGUCAUUUGUUGAUGUUCAAAGCACCUUCAUUCUAUGUGUGUUAUUAUCUCUAUUUAUGUCAUCUAUGUGUGUUUGCAAGUGGGGUACUCCCUAGUGGUGAUGCUCCAC
Lolium perenne is the source of this 1361-nucleotide non-coding RNA. The record is from RefSeq and is a predicted model, not a curated record. Lineage: Eukaryota; Viridiplantae; Streptophyta; Magnoliopsida; Poales; Poaceae.